UUCUCAUCAAAGAGUGUUCUAUAGGGAAGAGAUAAAACCUAAACAGUCCCGGAAGCUGAGACAAGAAACUGAAAAAAAAAGGAAAGUGAGCAACAAGAUAAUGUAAGUCACAACUGAGCCAAUUAAGGAGCAGGAGAUGCAGCAGCAUGUCCCAAACAAAACUGAUUGGAGGUCAAGUGUGGACAACCAGAGCAAGUUCUUGCACAGCUAAUGUAUCCCCAGGUGUGAACUGAGUAACAUGAAGAAAGGCAUCCUCCUGCCACCUCCUGAAUCAGUAGAAAAAGACAAAAGCUUUUGAUGGGAUUAUGCUGGAGUCCAUGUCAUGGAACCAAACUGGAAAUUUUCUGGCAUGAUUUUAGGCGUUUUGCAUGAACUCUAAUUCAUUGAAAUGUAACAACCUUAUAAGGUUCCAGGUGUGUCUUAGUUUUGAAGCUUCACAGCAGCUGAGUAGUAGUGUGUGGUGAGCAUAACAAAUACCUAAAACUUUCAGGAAGGUGAAUCCUUCUCUCUGACCGUGGGAACUAUGGUCUGAAGAUGAAUGCCAAUCGCAAGAUAAUUCAAAUAUUGAAAUUAUGAAACAAUGACUUCCAAAUCAGCUAUGAUAAUGUGAUCUACAAGCUAAGGUCUAAUAUCCUCAAAACAAAUGGAAAGACAGAACAUCUUAGCAGGGAAAUAAAAGAUUCAACUGGCUCAUGGUUUGUACCGGGGGAACCAAGCCCAUGGUUGGGAUCCAGGGGUCCCUCCAGUCUCCUGUUCCAUGGUCGCACACACCUUGAGGGCACCCACACGGUUUGAUCGUCUCCUUAUAUUGCUGCUGGCAGACUCGUGACGGGGUUUCUCAUUCAUCUGGGUGUACAAGAAGCAUGGUGCCAGCAUCUGCUCAGCUUCUGAUGAGGGCUCUGGGAAGCUUUUACUCAUGGAGGAAGGCAAGGGGAACCAGCAUGUCACAUGAUGAGAAAGGAAGCAUGAGAGAGAGGUGCCAGACUCUUCAACAACCAGAAGAGAAAGUCAGAGAGAAUCAAAGCAUGUGAAGAGAGACCUCACGCAAGGAGGUCUAGGAGCCUAGAGUGAUCUUCAGCCAACAGUCAAAAAGAUAACUGGGACAACCACAAGGAACUGACUUCUAUAAGAGAAAUGAGCCUGGAAAAGGACUCCAAGCUUCAGAUGAAAAUGUAGUUGGCUGACACUUUGAUUUUAGUCUUGUGAAACCCUAAGCAGAGAAUCCAAGUAAGUCCCCCUGAACUUCUCACCUAAAGAACAAUGAGUUAAUAAAUAAG
This 1277-nucleotide long non-coding RNA is filed under the name Homo sapiens (human). RNAcentral's name for it is "HSALNT0351583". The record is from RNAcentral. Lineage: Eukaryota; Metazoa; Chordata; Mammalia; Primates; Hominidae.